This 398-nucleotide long non-coding RNA is filed under the name Coturnix japonica (Japanese quail). RNAcentral describes it as "lncRNA (ENSCJPG00005017678.1)". Lineage: Eukaryota; Metazoa; Chordata; Aves; Galliformes; Phasianidae. The record is from RNAcentral.
AAAGAUGUGCACAAAUUAAUGCCAAUUGAGGAUCUUCAGUCCUGGAUCUAUGCUCAAUGGAUCAGACUCAUAGCCAGCAUAUUGAUCAGCUCUCCACUCCCAGCAAAAUGAGCACAUCUAGCAACAGAGGCAUGGAAAGGCAAGUGGUUUCCCCUGCUCAUUUCAAGGCAGCAUUUAGCACCUCUCUAGGGACGGGACGUCUGCCUGUGAAGAGUCAACAUGCAGGUGUUCAAGGCAGAGGUGUUUACUGCACCUGUCAGGAGGUGGAGAGGAUGUGGACUGUCGUGGCCAGAACAAGGACCUCUUGCCUGUAUCAAUCCAGGAUGGUCACAACUCAUGACAAAGCUUACAGCUCUGAAGUCUUUCCAAGAGAGAAGAGAAACCGAACUAGAAGAUGA